CUACUGCCCCCCCUCUUAGAAGAGUAUUCUCCAUCAGAAAUGGCUCUUACAACACGCAACCUUGAAGUUUUUGCAGGUGGAAUUGAAGAGAGAGAUGCGGUGAGGAAAGGGUAGGAAAGAGAGAGAAGACAAGUUGGGGUUUUAGGUGGGUUUUGGAAUUGAGAUUUAGGGUUUAAGGUUUUGGAUAAAGGAGCAAGAUUGAGAGCUGCCAUUGCGGUCACUGUGUAAGAGGGAAACAAUGAAGUGAUAAGGGGAAUUUGGCUUGGAUUUUCA
Molecule: long non-coding RNA, 273 nt
Filed under: Capsicum annuum
Lineage: Eukaryota; Viridiplantae; Streptophyta; Magnoliopsida; Solanales; Solanaceae
Description: long non-coding RNA (CANN_LNC003520)
Source: RNAcentral